RNAcentral lists this ribosomal RNA (253 nucleotides) under uncultured bacterium. RNAcentral's name for it is "partial 16S ribosomal RNA". It matches the Rfam family "Bacterial small subunit ribosomal RNA", at positions 524 to 776 of the family's 1533-position model. The record is from RNAcentral.
GACAGAGGCCUCAAGCGUUAGGCGGAAUCACUGGGCUUAAAGCGUGUGUAGGCGGAUCGUUAAGUGUCUUGUGAAAUCCCACGGCUCACCCGUGGAACUGCUGGGCAUACUGGCGAUCUUGGGCCAACUAGGGGCAACUGUAACAAGCGGUGGAGCGGUGAAACGCGUAGAUAUCGCUUGGAACGCCGAAGGUGAAAACAGGUUGCUGGGGUUGUGCCGACGCUGAGACACGAAAGCCAGGGGAGCAAACGGG